GAUGAACGCUGGCUACAGGCUUAACACAUGCAAGUCGAGGGGAAACGACGGGGAAGCUUGCUUCCCCGGGCGUCGUCCGGCGCACGGGUGAGUAACGCGUAUCCAACCUGCCUCUGACUGAGGGAUAACCCGUCGAAAGUCGGCCUAAUACCUCAUGGUAUCGUCUGCGGGCAUCCAACGACGAUUAAAGAUUUCAUCGGUCAGGGAUGGGGAUGCGUCUGAUUAGCUUGUUGGCGGGGUAACGGCCCACCAAGGCUACGAUCAGUAGGGGUUCUGAGAGGAAGGUCCCCCACAUUGGAACUGAGACACGGUCCAAACUCCUACGGGAGGCAGCAGUGAGGAAUAUUGGUCAAUGGGCGAGAGCCUGAACCAGCCAAGUAGCGUGCAGGAAGACGGCCCUAUGGGUUGUAAACUGCUUUUAUGCGGGGAUAAAGUGAGGGACGUGUCCCUCAUUGCAGGUACCGCAUGAAUAAGGACCGGCUAAUUCCGUG
Molecule: ribosomal RNA, 491 nt
Filed under: uncultured bacterium
Lineage: Bacteria
Description: partial 16S ribosomal RNA
Rfam family: Bacterial small subunit ribosomal RNA
Source: RNAcentral